This 253-nucleotide ribosomal RNA is filed under the name uncultured bacterium. RNAcentral describes it as "partial 16S ribosomal RNA". It matches the Rfam family "Bacterial small subunit ribosomal RNA", at positions 524 to 776 of the family's 1533-position model. The record is from RNAcentral.
UACGGAGGGUGCAAGCGUUAUCCGGAUUCACUGGGUUUAAAGGGUGCGUAGGUGGAAUGGCAAGUCAGUGGUGAAAUCUCCAAGCUUAACUUGGAAACUGCCGUUGAUACUAUCAUUCUUGAAUAUCGUGGAGGUGAGCGGAAUAUGUCAUGUAGCGGUGAAAUGCUUAGAUAUGACAUAGAACACCGAUUGCGAAGGCAGCUCACUACACGAUCAUUGACACUGAGGCACGAAAGCGUGGGGAGCAAACAGG